CAAUAGCGUAUAUUAAUGUUGUUGCAGUUAAAAAGCUCGUAGUUGGAUUUCUGGUGGGAGCGGUUGGUCUGCCCCGCGAGGGGUAGUUACUGAGCCGUAUCCGGCCCUUUUCGGGUUGACCGUGGCUGGCAUUAAUUUGUCGGUGCGGGAGGCCCGUCGUUUACUGUGAACAAAUUAGAGUGUUCAAAGCAGGGUGUUCUUGAAUACAUUAGCAUGGAAUAAUGAGAUAGGACUUUGGUGGUUCUCACUUUUUGUGGGAUAUUUUGUUGGUUUGCACGCCAAAGUAAUGAUUAAUAGGAGCAGUUGGGGGUAUUCGUAUUCAAUUGUCAGAGGUGAAAUUCUUGGAUUUCUAGAAGACGAACUACUGCGAAAGCAUUUACCAAGGAUGUUUNCAUUAA
RNAcentral lists this ribosomal RNA (398 nucleotides) under uncultured eukaryote. Its description in RNAcentral is "partial 18S ribosomal RNA". It matches the Rfam family "Eukaryotic small subunit ribosomal RNA", at positions 592 to 976 of the family's 1831-position model. The record is from RNAcentral.